UACGUAUGGUGCAAGCGUUAUCCGGAUUUACUGGGCGUAAAGGGAGCGCAGGCGGUGCGCCAAGUCUGAUGUGAAGCCCCGGGGCUCAACCCCGGGCAUGCAUUGGAAACUGGCGGGCUGGAGUGCCGGGGAGGUAAGCGGAAUUCCUAGUGUAGCGGUGAAAUGCGUAGAUAUUAGGAGGAACACCAGUGGCGAAGGCGGCUUACUGGACGGCAACUGACGCUGAGGCUCGAAAGCGUGGGGAGCAAACAGG
This 253-nucleotide ribosomal RNA is filed under the name uncultured bacterium. Its description in RNAcentral is "partial 16S ribosomal RNA". It matches the Rfam family "Bacterial small subunit ribosomal RNA", at positions 524 to 776 of the family's 1533-position model. The record is from RNAcentral.